Phrynosoma platyrhinos (Desert horned lizard) is the source of this 72-nucleotide non-coding RNA. The record is from the annotation of a GenBank genome assembly. Lineage: Eukaryota; Metazoa; Chordata; Lepidosauria; Squamata; Phrynosomatidae.
GCCAGUGUGGCAUAGUGGUUUGAAUGUUAGACUAUAAUUCUGAAGACUGUGAUUCCAUUCCCCACUUGGCCA